CCCUUAGAUGUUCUGGGCCACACGCGCGCUACACUGACGGAUUCAACGAGCUUACAACCUUGGCCGAAAGGUCUGGGUAAUCUCCAAAAUCCGUCGUGAUGGGGAUAGAUUAUUGCAAUUAUUAAUCUUCAACGAGGAAUGCCUAGUAAGCGCAAGUCAUCAGCUUGCGUUGAUUACGUCCCUGCCCUUUGUACACACCGCCCGUCGCUCCUACCGAUUGAAUGGUCCGGUGAAGCGUUUGGACUAUGGUUUUCUGAUGGUCCGCCGUUGGAUUACCGUGGGAAGUUCGUUAAACCUUAUCAUUUAGAGGAAGGAGAAGUCGUAACA
RNAcentral lists this ribosomal RNA (327 nucleotides) under uncultured eukaryote. RNAcentral's name for it is "partial 18S ribosomal RNA". It matches the Rfam family "Eukaryotic small subunit ribosomal RNA", at positions 1470 to 1796 of the family's 1831-position model. The record is from RNAcentral.